CCUACGGGAGGCAGCAGUGAGGAAUAUUGGUCACUGGACGAGAGUCUGAACCAGCCAAGUAGCGUGAAGGAUGACUGCCCUAUGGUUUGUAAACUUCUUUUAUAAAGGAAUAAAACGAGGCACGUGUGCCUUUUUGCAUGGACUUUAUUACUAAGGAUCGGCUAACUCCGUGCCAGCAGCCGCGGUACUACGGAGGCGCCGAGCGUUAUCCGGAUUUAUUGGGUUUAAAGGGAGCGUAGAUGGGUUGUUAAGUCAGUUGUGAAAGUUUGCGGCUCAACCGUAAAAUUGCAAUUGAGACUGGCAGUUGUGAGUACAGUUGAGGUAGGCGGAAUUCGUGGUGUAGCGGUGAAAUGCUUAGAUAUCACGAAGAACCCCGAUUGCGAAGGCAGCUUACUAAACUGUGACUGACAUUGAUGCUCGAAAGUGUGGGUAUCAAACAGGAGUAGAGACCCUUGUAGUC
RNAcentral lists this ribosomal RNA (460 nucleotides) under uncultured bacterium. RNAcentral's name for it is "partial 16S ribosomal RNA". It matches the Rfam family "Bacterial small subunit ribosomal RNA", at positions 338 to 795 of the family's 1533-position model. The record is from RNAcentral.